This 490-nucleotide ribosomal RNA is filed under the name uncultured bacterium. RNAcentral's name for it is "partial 16S ribosomal RNA". It matches the Rfam family "Bacterial small subunit ribosomal RNA", at positions 30 to 507 of the family's 1533-position model. The record is from RNAcentral.
AUUGAACGCUGGCGGCAGGCCUAACACAUGCAAGUCGAACGGUAACAGGAAGCAGCUUGCUGCUUUGCUGACGAGUGGCGGACGGGUGAGUAAUGUCUGGGAAACUGCCUGAUGGAGGGGGAUAACUACUGGAGACGGUAGCUAAUACCGCAUAACGUCGCAAGACCAAAGAGGGGGACCUUCGGGCCUCUUGCCAUCGGAUGUGCCCAGAUGGGAUUAGCUAGUAGGUGGGGUAACGGCUCACCUAGGCGACGAUCCCUAGCUGGUCUGAGAGGAUGACCAGCCACACUGGAACUGAGACACGGUCCAGACUCCUACGGGAGGCAGCAGUGGGGAAUAUUGCACAAUGGGCGCAAGCCUGAUGCAGCCAUGCCGCGUGUAUGAAGAAGGCCUUCGGGUUGUAAAGUACUUUCAGCGGGGAGGAAGGGAGUAAAGUUAAUACCUUUGCUCAUUGACGUUACCCGCAGAAGAAGCACCGGCUAACUCCGUG